UCCGUAGGUGAACCUGCGGAAGGAUCAUUACCGAAGUCAAGGCCCCUUCGGGGGCUAAACUUCCACCCUUUGUUUACCUUACCAUUGUUGCUUUGGCGGGCCGCCUAAGGCCACCGGCUCUCGAGCUGGUGCGUGCCCGCCAGAGACCCCCAAACCCAAACCAUAUUUAGUGUCGUCUGAAAACAAGUUUAAAUUAUUAAAACUUUCAACAACGGAUCUCUUGGCUCUGGCAUCGAUGAAGAACGCAGCGAAAUGCGAUAAGUAAUGUGAAUUGCAGAAUUCAGUGAAUCAUCGAAUCUUUGAACGCACAUUGCGCCCCUUGGUAUUCCGGGGGGCAUGCCUGUUCGAGCGUCAUUAUCACCCCUCAAGCUCAGCUUGGUGUUGGGGCAUGCCCGUCACAGGGCAGCCCUUAAAAGCAGUGGCGGUGCCAUCUGGCUCUAAGCGUAGUAAUACUCCUCGCUAUAGGGUCCCGGUGGUGUCCUGCCAGAACCCCAAAUUUUAUCAUGAUUGACCUCGGAUCAGGUAGGGAUACCCGCUGAACUUAA
This 545-nucleotide ribosomal RNA is filed under the name uncultured fungus. RNAcentral describes it as "eukaryotic LSU rRNA". The stretch from base 201 to 354 matches the Rfam family "5.8S ribosomal RNA". The record is from RNAcentral. Lineage: Eukaryota; Fungi.